GGAGCAGGGAAGAUGGCGGCUGUGGUGGAGAAUGUAGUGAAACUGAUUGGCCUCCGGACAGCUGUACUCCUACCCUGCCCGGCGCUGGCGGAAAAAGCGGCGAGCCCAUCCCCCUGAGGAUCCACGACUUUCCUUCCCAUCUAUUAAGCCAGACACAGACCAGACCCUGAAGAAGGAGGGGCUGAUCUCUCAGGAUGGCAGUAGUUUAGAGGCUCUGUUGCGCACUGACCCCCUGGAGAAGCGAGGUGCCCCGGAUCCCCGAGUUGAUGAUGACAGCCUGGGCGAGUUUCCUGUGACCAACAGUCGAGCACGAAAGCGGAUCCUAGAACCAGAUGACUUCCUGGAUGACCUCGAUGAUGAAGACUAUGAAGAAGAUACUCCCAAGCGUCGGGGAAAGGGGAAAUCCAAGGGUAAGGGUGUGGGCAGUGCCCGUAAGAAGCUGGAUGCUUCCAUCCUGGAGGACCGGGAUAAGCCCUAUGCCUGUGACAUUUGUGGAAAACGUUACAAGAACCGACCAGGCCUCAGUUACCACUAUGCCCACUCCCACUUGGCUGAGGAGGAGGGUGAGGACAAGGAAGACUCUCAACCACCCACUCCUGUUUCCCAGAGGUCUGAGGAGCAGAAAUCCAAAAAGGGUCCUGAUGGAUUGGCCUUGCCCAACAACUACUGUGACUUCUGCCUGGGGGACUCAAAGAUUAACAAGAAGACGGGACAACCCGAGGAGCU
RNAcentral lists this small RNA (726 nucleotides) under Pan troglodytes (chimpanzee). RNAcentral describes it as "processed transcript". Lineage: Eukaryota; Metazoa; Chordata; Mammalia; Primates; Hominidae. The record is from RNAcentral.